RNAcentral lists this small RNA (104 nucleotides) under Halpernia frigidisoli. RNAcentral describes it as "Chryseobacterium frigidisoli Flavo-1 RNA". It matches the Rfam family "Flavo-1 RNA". Lineage: Bacteria; Pseudomonadati; Bacteroidota; Flavobacteriia; Flavobacteriales; Weeksellaceae. The record is from RNAcentral.
UUAAUGCAGCCCGACUUGAACGGAAAUCCUUUUUGCUUUAAAAUUUUCCGAUUUAACAAAAAAUUUCAAAGCAAAAAGAUUGGGAGUGGAAGGCGGAAAUUGCU